GGCACUAUGGCCGAGCGGUUAAGGCGAAAGAUUAGAAAUCUUUUGGGAUUUUCCCGCGCAGGUUCGAGUCCUGCUGGUGUCG
This is a transfer RNA of Sugiyamaella lignohabitans, 82 nucleotides long. It matches the Rfam family "tRNA". From Rfam's summary of the family: Transfer RNA (tRNA) molecules are approximately 80 nucleotides in length. Their secondary structure includes four short double-helical elements and three loops (D, anti-codon, and T loops). The record is from Rfam. Lineage: Eukaryota; Fungi; Ascomycota; Dipodascomycetes; Dipodascales; Trichomonascaceae.